CAGCCGCCGCGGUAAAACGUAGGUGGCAAGCGUUGUCCGGAAUUAUUGGGCGUAAAGGGCUCGCAGGCGGUUUCUUAAGUCUGAUGUGAAAGCCCCCGGCUCAACCGGGGAGGGUCAUUGGAAACUGGGAAACUUGAGUGCAGAAGAGGAGAGUGGAAUUCCACGUGUAGCGGUGAAAUGCGUAGAGAUGUGGAGGAACACCAGUGGCGAAGGCGACUCUCUGGUCUGUAACUGACGCUGAGGAGCGAAAGCGUGGGGAGCGAACAGGAUUAGAUACCCCUGUAGUCCCUGUCUCUUAUAC
This 301-nucleotide ribosomal RNA is filed under the name uncultured bacterium. RNAcentral describes it as "partial 16S ribosomal RNA". It matches the Rfam family "Bacterial small subunit ribosomal RNA", at positions 509 to 807 of the family's 1533-position model. The record is from RNAcentral.